UGGGGAAUAUUGCACAAUGGGCGAAAGCCUGAUGCAGCAACGCCGCGUGAGUGAUGAAGGCCUUCGGGUUGUAAAGCUCUGUCUUUUGGGACGAUAAUGACGGUACCAAAGGAGGAAGCCACGGCUAACUACGUGCCAGCAGCCGCGGUAAUACGUAGGUGGCAAGCGUUGUCCGGAUUUACUGGGCGUAAAGGAUGCGUAGGCGGAUUUUUAAGUGAGAUGUGAAAUACCCGGGCUUAACUUGGGUGCUGCAUUUCAAACUGGGAAUCUAGAGUGCGGGAGAGGAGAAUGGAAUUCCUAGUGUAGCGGUGAAAGUGCGUAGAGAUUAGGAAGAACACCAGUGGGCGAAAGGCGAUUCUCUGGACCGUAACUGACGCUGAGGCAUGAAAGCGUGGGUAGCAAACAGGAUUAGAUACCCUGGUAGUCCACGCCGUAAACGAUGAGUACUAGGUGUAGGAGGUAUCGACCCCUUCUGUGCCGCAGUUAACACAAUCAAGUACUCCGCCUGGGGAAGUACGAUCGC
Molecule: ribosomal RNA, 523 nt
Filed under: uncultured bacterium
Lineage: Bacteria
Description: partial 16S ribosomal RNA
Rfam family: Bacterial small subunit ribosomal RNA
Source: RNAcentral